AACGCUAGCUACAGGCUUAACACAUGCAAGUCGAGGGGCAGCAUGGUCUUAGCUUGCUAAGACUGAUGGCGACCGGCGCACGGGUGAGUAACACGUAUCCAACCUGCCAUCUACUCUUGGACAGCCUUCUGAAAGGAAGAUUAAUACAAGAUGGCAUCAUGAGUCCGCAUGUUCACAUGAUUAAAGGUAUUCCGGUAGACGAUGGGGAUGCGUUCCAUUAGAUAGUUGGCGGGGUAACGGCCCACCAAGUCUUCGAUGGAUAGGGGUUCUGAGAGGAAGGUCCCCCACACUGGAACUGAGACACGGUCCAGACUCCUACGGGAGGCAGCAGUGAGGAAUAUUGGUCAAUGGACGCAAGUCUGAACCAACCAAGUAGCGUGAAGGAUGACUGCCCUAUGGGUUGUAAACUUCUUUUAUACGGGAAUAAAAGACAUUACGUGUAGUGUUUUGCAUGUACCGUUAUGAAUAAGCAUCGGCUAAUUCCGUGCCAGCAGCCGCGGUAAUACGGAAGAUGCGAGCGUUAUCCGGAUUUAUUGGGUUUAAAGGGAGCGUAGGCGGGUUUUUAAGUCAGCUGUGAAAGUUUGAGGCUCAACCUUAAAAUUGCAGUUGAUACUGGAGACCUUGAGUGCGGUAAAGGUAGGCGGAAUUCGUGGUGUAGCGGUGAAAUGCUUAGAUAUCACGAAGAACUCCGAUUG
This 695-nucleotide ribosomal RNA is filed under the name uncultured bacterium. RNAcentral describes it as "bacterial SSU rRNA". It matches the Rfam family "Bacterial small subunit ribosomal RNA", at positions 32 to 715 of the family's 1533-position model. The record is from RNAcentral.